UGAGCAGACUAUGUGACAGCGUGAACGCUUUAGUUUAUGAGGAAAGUCCGAGCAUCACAGAGCAAGGUAACUGCUAACGGCAGCCGAGGGCGACCUUAGGGCAAGUGCAACAGAAAUAAACUGCCUGUUUUUACGGGUGAUGGUGGAAAGGCGAGGUAAAAGCUCACCAGAGUGCAGGAGACUGCAUUGCUAUGUAAACCCUACCUGAUGCAACGUCUAUUGGUGCUGAAUAUUAUAACGUCUGCUCGGCGGAUAUUCAGUAAUGACGGCUUGAACUUAUCGGCGACGAUAAGUCUAGAUAAAUUGUCACACUCGACAGAACUCGGCUUAUCGGUCUGGUCACGAU
This 346-nucleotide RNase P RNA is filed under the name Ruminococcus sp. RNAcentral's name for it is "RNase P RNA component class A". It matches the Rfam family "Bacterial RNase P class A". Rfam says of the family: Ribonuclease P (RNase P) is a ubiquitous endoribonuclease, found in archaea, bacteria and eukarya as well as chloroplasts and mitochondria. Its best characterised activity is the generation of mature 5'-ends of tRNAs by cleaving the 5'-leader elements of precursor-tRNAs. The record is from RNAcentral. Lineage: Bacteria; Bacillati; Bacillota; Clostridia; Eubacteriales; Oscillospiraceae.